UACGGGGGGGGCAAGCGUUGUUCGGAAUUACUGGGCGUAAAGGGCUCGUAGGUGGCCAACUAAGUCGGACGUGAAAUCCCUCGGCUUAACCGGGGAACUGCGUCUGAUACUGGAUGGCUUGAGUUCGGGAGAGGGAUGCGGAAUUCCAGGUGUAGCGGUGAAAUGCGUAGAUAUCGGGAGGAACACCAGUGGCGAAGGCGACUUCCUGGCCUGUUCUUGACGCUGAGGCGCGAAAGCUAGGGGAGCAAACGGG
Molecule: ribosomal RNA, 253 nt
Filed under: uncultured bacterium
Lineage: Bacteria
Description: partial 16S ribosomal RNA
Rfam family: Bacterial small subunit ribosomal RNA
Source: RNAcentral